GGAAACCUUCUUUUAUUGAGAGAUUCCUCAGGUUUCACAACCUAAAAUUCUCCCUUUGUUGCAAUUCUUCUAUAUGAAUGUGUGUAUGUUUUCUCUCUUUUUGGUUCUUUCUUGUGUGGAAAUGACUUCGUUAAUGUUGGUUAAUUAGUAAAUGUUUAGUGCCUAUAAGAAUGGAGCACCAUUAUGGGUUGACGCAACCCCCAUAGCUAGCAGAAAGUAAAUUCUUACACGUCAAAUUUGAAUUCUUAAUUGUAAGAGAUCUCUGCUCAAAUGUGGCUGUUUUUGGGAAAAUAUUAAAUCCUUUUCUGAAAAUAUUCUUUAAGAGAUCUUUUUCAAUGUGGCUUUUGCAUUGUGAGGAUUAAUCAUGAAUUGACUAGUUUUACGCUGGUUGGCCGCAUACUGCAACCCUCCUUUAUCCGAGCUUAGAUCCGGCAAUGCGACCAAGUUCAUAUAGGCAGAGUUUGGACUCAUAUAGCCGAUCCCAUUUGCUUGGGGCUAAGGCGUAGUUGUUGUUUCUAUAUGGCUUUUGUAGAGCAACUUAUCCGAAACUGCUCUAUUCCAGUUCUGAAUAUAAUAAUAAGAGAUCUAUUGCAGCUCAAAAUGUGGCUGUCGCAUUGCAACUUAUUCAAACACUCUAACGAUUGAGAAUAUGCUGAAAUGAGAGUUUUAUAAAGCAGUAUGAACCUUGUGGGCCUUGUAACAACUUUGAUUCCGUUUUUGUUUUCAUUUUGACACAAUUUCUUUGAUUCUUAGCGCAUCUUACAUUUUUACAUAUAUUUGUGGACAUGUUUUCUAUUUUCUAACUUCGGGCUUUUGUUUUUGUAUUGCAAAGGGUUGCACUUUGAAUAUGCUUGUAAUGGAAAGAAGUAAUACAGCAGUGCUUUGUUCUCCAAGGCUUCAAGGUGUGGUCAUGUUGGAUACAAUAUGAAGGUUGUGUUCCAACCCAUGUGAUGUUCUAGGUAUGAACGCUUCGAUCCCCAUUCAAAUCUUCCUGCCUUCUCCAUCGUUAAAAUAAAAGUGGAAAGGAAAAAGAGACCGUUGCAUUUCUUUAUUGGUAAGCUCUUAAAUCAAUUGUUAAAACCAAUCAAGGCCACGAAGGGCAAUUACUUCUUUACUAUCAUUACGAUGUGUGCAAGGAUGUAUUCAUGAGUAGGUUAAUUUGCUCUGUUUAACACAAUUCUAGUUAAUCUCUUUCUAUUUUCCUACUUCUUUUGUGUUGAUGUGGUGUCCUUCCAGCUUGCACGCGCUAAUCCACCAGACAACUUGCUAUAAGCCACAUGCACAGGUGAUGAUUACUCCCUAUCUGUCUCUAUCCACAAAUACUAGUUAGUCUUCUGUCGUGACUAUUAGGUUGAAGCAAAUACUUAAUGUAAAAACCUGAUAAUUCCUGGUCUACAAUUUCGUUGCUGCCUUGCUGGCAGCCAAGGUUCUCAUACCUGCAUUUACUCUUGGAAUAGCUCCGUUUUAUAUCCCCUAGCUACUGCUGUGAUAACUUAAGCGGCUCAAGGGAGGAGGGGGUAUGCGAACAAAAUAUUGCCUGAAGUAUUAGUUGAGAUUUAAACUUAUGUCAUUUUAAUUUACAAGUAUCCAUGAGUGGCGUGGUCAUUUUGUCUAAACUGAAUAGCUUGUAUGAAAUUGAUCAAAGUCUAAGCUGGUCAAUGUCAUUUGGCAUAUUAGAUGCAGGCAUAUCAUUAUAUGAAAUAUCAAUGAAAAAACAUUUACCAGCAUUCUUGCAGAUAAAGAUGCUUGUGUGUCUGCACGAAUAUAACUCACAUAUAUAUAGAUACGUGUUGAAAGAACAGAGUUGUUUCUCCUUUUGUUAUGUGCAUUUCCAGCACCCACAUAGUGCUGGACGUCUCUUAUAUAGAUAGAUGUCAUGUCAUUCCAAUAAGAGAGUGUUAUUAAAGGUAAAAUGGGAAUGAUAGAAAGGUGUCAAUCUUUUUGGAGAGGGCUAAAAGGGAAAGAGUGUCAUAUAAAGUAAAAUGGAGGGAGUAUUAUUAUUUACGUUUGUGGUAUAAUUGACAAACUGGAUCAAUUAACUAAUUCGCUUGUUCCUAACUCUUUCCCCUUCCCCUGAUGUAUACACUGACUGUAGUUCACACAAUUUGAUCUCCCUCGCAAUAUAAGAUAGUUAUGUAAGUUCAUACAAUUUGGUUCCCUUUUGCAAUAUAAAAUGUGUAUGUAAAGUAUCUAAUAUCUGUUUUUAACAUUAUCCAACAGGAACUUUGUUUGCUGCUUGAUGGCUAUUGAGACGAAUUUGCCAAAAAAUCCUAUUUAUUUUUCAGCAGGUUCUCUCUUAAUCUCCUUUACUUCUUUUUAUUAUAUCUUUGAGGAAUUCUUGGCCCUUCUUGAUUCAUAUUAAAGAGACGAAUUAUGUCCAUUAUUCUUUUACGCAAGGCCUGCUCUCCUAGUCCUUCUAAUAGAUUCUGCUUUGUUAGAUGUGGUUUGGCUAGACGAUGGGGACACGUCGAUGUCAACUAAAACACCCAGCAGAAUCUGGUUUGAUGAGAACCCUGCUAGGUUUUUUUCUUUCUCAUUUCCUCCUAAAUUGGUAUAGUUUCAUUCUAUACAAGGUGUUUCUUAUCUCUAUCUACUUGUACGCCAUUCUAGUCCUUUAACCCUUUGGUUUUCUUUCAAGUUUCAAGGAUUUCAUGGUGAAUUUUCAUGCUGAAUGACUCCUAGAAAUAAUCAAUUGAUAUUGUUGGCUUAUGAUGAUGAUAUAGUAGUAAUACGAAAGUUUCUGAUAUUUUCUUUUCCAUCUCAAAAGUAUUAUCUAUUUGUUUUCUUUUGGAGUACUUCCGAUCCAGUUAUGUGUCUUGUAUUAUCUAUUUGUUUUCUUUUGGAGUACUUCCGAUCCAGUUAUGUGUCUUCUUCUGUUGUUACCUUUCUAAUGUAGUAAUUGAUCUUUCAAAGAAUCUAACUUUGCCUGUUUAUUGGAUGCUUGUGCCAGAUUCAUCAAACCUUUUACUACACACCCUGAUCUGAGGAAACCGUGUAUCUUGUCUAGUUUCUGUCACGCAAGGAUUAAUACUCGGUACAUAGCGGUAAGCCCAAGAUGGUGUUACUUAAAGAGAAUUGAAUUAGAUCUGCAGAUUCAGUAUGUAAUCCUGCUUAUAUGAGUGUCUCCAUUCCGUAAUCUACGUUGAAGCUGGUGUAUCGUACGCAUUUCUAAGAAGUUCUUUCUGCCCAAGCUGCAAGUUUAUGGUUUCAGGAGUUGACAUGGAAUUAGUUGAUUGUAUGUGAGAAUCAAGUCUUUUUAAGUAUGUACUCGCAUGCCAAAAAGAAACAGUACCAAAGAAUUUGUCCAUCAGAAAUGUUGAAGUGUGUGACCGUCUCAUCUAAAAGCUUAAGCUGUUAGAGAGAGAGCACUUCUAUUUACUUAAUUAUGUCUUCAACAAGAAAGAGCUUAUGAUCACAUAGGAGCAGAAUAUCAUGAAGUUCAGUUUGCUCACUGUUGAGAGGGGCUUGAUACCAUGAGCUCAGAAGUGUAGCUCUGUCACUAGGAGAAAAUGCAUCUCUUUCUCUUAAUAAAGGUUGGUUUUAUUAAUGUUGUUAAUCUCUCGAAUGAUUAGUUGAGAUCAUCUUUAGUUGCAAUCAAUUUAAUAAUUUUUCUAGUUUAAAGUGGAAUGCCCUC
Molecule: long non-coding RNA, 3634 nt
Filed under: Nicotiana tabacum (common tobacco)
Lineage: Eukaryota; Viridiplantae; Streptophyta; Magnoliopsida; Solanales; Solanaceae
Description: long non-coding RNA (NTAB_LNC011331)
Source: RNAcentral